This 120-nucleotide ribosomal RNA is filed under the name uncultured bacterium. Its description in RNAcentral is "partial 16S ribosomal RNA". It matches the Rfam family "Bacterial small subunit ribosomal RNA", at positions 1365 to 1482 of the family's 1533-position model. The record is from RNAcentral.
AAUACGUUCCCGGGCCUUGUACACACCGCCCGUCACACCACGAAAGUCGGCAACACCCGAAGCCGGUGGCCUAACCCUUAGGGGAAGGAGCCGUCGAAGGUGGGGUCGGUGAUUGGGGUG